AGUAGGCGGGCCCUGGGCCUGGGUGGAGUUGUGGAGGGCCGCGGGGUCCCCGCCUUCCCGAUUUCCCGCUUCUCUCCCCCCCCCCCUCAAUGGCGCUGAAGGCCCUGCCGAGCUCGGGGGUGGCAUUCCGCCGGAUCCUGGCUCAUUUCCCCGAGGAGCCGAGCCUGGCUUUCGCCUACGGGUCCGGAGUGUACGGCCAGGCGGGGCCCAGCGCCGAGCACCAGAACCUUAUGCUGGACUUUGUGUUUACAGUGGAUGACCCCGUUGCUUGGCAUUCAAGGAACCUGCAGAAGAAUAGGACCCAUUACUCUUUCCUAAAAUUCUUCGGGCCAAAAGUUAUCACUGAUGUUCAGAAUAAUUAUGGGGCUGGCGUUUACUACAAUUCAAUGGUCCCUUGUGAUGGGAAGCUCAUCAAAUACGGAGUCAUUAGCACAGAUGCUCUGAUCAGAGAUCUGCUUGACUGGAAUACAUUGUACGUCGCUGGACGCCUGCACAAACCAGUGAAGAUCCUGGCACAGAAGGAGAACGGUUCCCUGCGAUUUGCCCUCGGUAAGAACCUGAAGAGUGCUGUCACUGCCGCUUUCCUCAUGCUGCCAGAAAGCUUCUCUGAAGAAGACCUCUUCGUCCAGAUUGCUGGACUCUCCUACUCUGGUGACUUCCGGAUGGUGUUUGGAGAGGAAAAAGCAAAGGUGCAGAAUAUUGUAAAACCCAACAUAGCUCACUUUCGAGAGCUCUACAGUAAUAUCCUGCAGGAGAACCCCCAAGUGGUGUAUAAACUUCACCAAGGCAAGCUAGAGUUAGAUAAAAGUCCAGAAGGUCAGUUCACUCAGCUAAUGACUUUGCCAAAGACCCUGCAACAGCAAAUAACUUAUAUCGUGGACCCUCCUGGAAAGAACCGAGAUGUGGAAGAAACCCUAUUACAAGUCGCUCAGGAUCCUGAUUGUGGCAUGAUGGUGCAACAGGGUCUUUCAGGAAUUGUGCGCCUCUCUAGCAUAAUGCAGAGUGCCAAAGGAAUCCUCACAGCUGGGUGACAGAUUCUAUAGAAGCAAGUUUCUUUGUCAGUUAUGCCCUACACUGAAGCAGCUACCUAAAUAGCAGGUGUGGGGAAGUCUAUGAUUUACAGUUCGAGGAAAGUGUACAAGAUGUGGAAGGGAUGGUUGAGGACGACAUCCUGACAUCUCUUGCUUUUGAAUAUUCUGUGUACAGAGGAAUAAAGUGACUGAUCUGUUUUGUCAGAACAUGAUUUGAUCAUC
RNA transcript from Tachyglossus aculeatus (Australian echidna), 1253 nucleotides. It is a transcript of the gene named TAM41 mitochondrial translocator assembly and maintenance homolog, with no coding region annotated. Lineage: Eukaryota; Metazoa; Chordata; Mammalia; Monotremata; Tachyglossidae. The transcript has 9 exons. The record is from RefSeq and is a predicted model, not a curated record.